AUAAUUACCUGCCUCGGGAGAUAUCAUUAUCUCAAAGGUGGUUUUCCCAGGGCGAGGCUUAUCUAUUGCACUCUGGAUGUGCUGACCCCUGCAUUUUCCCAAAAUAUGGGAAUCUGGACUGCAUAGUUUGUGGUACUGGGGGCCUGCAUUCACAUUCUCCAA
This 162-nucleotide small nuclear RNA is filed under the name Peromyscus maniculatus bairdii (prairie deer mouse). RNAcentral's name for it is "U1 spliceosomal RNA (ENSPEMG00000029471.1)". It matches the Rfam family "U1 spliceosomal RNA". Rfam says of the family: U1 is a small nuclear RNA (snRNA) component of the spliceosome (involved in pre-mRNA splicing). Lineage: Eukaryota; Metazoa; Chordata; Mammalia; Rodentia; Cricetidae. The record is from Rfam by way of RNAcentral.